This is a long non-coding RNA of Bos taurus (domestic cattle), 454 nucleotides long. The record is from Ensembl. Lineage: Eukaryota; Metazoa; Chordata; Mammalia; Artiodactyla; Bovidae.
AAGUCACUUCAGUCAUGUCCGACUCUUUUCAACCUUAUGGACUGUAGCCUGCCAGGCUCCUCUGUCCAUGGGGAUUCUCCAGGCAGGAAUACUGGAGUGGGUUGCUAUGCCAUCCCCUUCCAGGAAUGCGACCAGAGAGCGAACCCGGGUCUCUCAUGUCUCCUGCACGGACAGGGGGUUGCUGAAGAUUGACGGCAGACGGGGACGGCAGAGGAUGAGAUGGUUGGAUAGUAUCACCAACUGGAUGGACAGGCGUUUGAGCAAGCUCCAAGAGUUGGUGAUGGACAGGGAAGCCUGGCGCGCUGCAGUCCAUGGGGUCUCGGACACGACGGAGCGACUGAACUGAACUGCCCUAGCCUUCCUGGGAUGUCACGCAAGGGAACUCUGGAAACUGAGCCCUAAAACCCGGCAGUCGGGGGUCAGGGCAGGUUUCUGCACAGACGGUCCUUUCGGG